GAAAACAUAGAGCAUUUGGUACUAUCCAAGGUUUUAGAUGUUUAUUGGGGGUCUUGGAACAUAUCGUGUUCCCCCCAUGGUAAGGGGGGAAUACUUGGAUGACAGAAAUAAUAAUGUGAGAACCCAUACCCUUAUUGAAUGACUGCUAAGGGCAGUCCCUACACUAAGUAUUUGCUAUGCAUUACAUAAUUUUUCACAUGGCCACCAUGUUAUUAGAAACAGUUAUUAUUUCCAUGUAAGAACAAGGGACUUGAGGUUCUGAAUAAUGAGUUGCCCAAACUUACAAAGUCAGUGACAGAGCUGGAGACUUGAACCCAGGCCUCUCUGACUUGGGGUGGGGGUUCUUCCUCUGUGAAAAUGUGCUACUUCUAGGGGUUGAUGUUGUGCACAUGUGGACUUGUCAUGCCCACAAAUUCACGUGUGAUUCCAAAGGACCCUUUGUCAGACCCUGUACUUUGGUAUCUGGAAUUCUGUCCCUCUGCACUCACCUUACAUGCCCUGUGGUCAGGACAGGACAGCAGCUGCACAACCAUGCUGACCUUGUCCUGCCCUGAUCCUGGUGUGUUGUGAUUUCAGUGUCUGGGUCUGUCUCUGGGAAUACACUGAGGGCACAGUCUAGGUCUGAGUCAUCUCUGCAUCUUCAAAAUAUCACCCAACAUAGGUGUGGCUCAGAGCAGGGUCUCAGGAAAAUGAUAAGUGAAUGAAUAGGGGGAUGGGUUGUGCUGGGACUUUGAUGAAGUCCCUGGGAUAAGAGAACAUCAUUCCCAUAACUUCCUGAAACGU
This 783-nucleotide long non-coding RNA is filed under the name Marmota monax (woodchuck). The record is from RNAcentral. Lineage: Eukaryota; Metazoa; Chordata; Mammalia; Rodentia; Sciuridae.